CGAAUAAGAGGUUGCUAACUCUGUGCCAGCAGCAGCGGUAAUACAGAGACCUCGAGCGUUAUCCGGAUUUAUUGGGCGUAAAGCGUCCGCAGGUGGUUUGUACAGUCAUUGGUAAAAUCUCGGAGCUCAACUCCGAAUCUGCUGAUGAUACUAACAGACUAGAGGAUGGGAGAGGUGAGCGGAAUUGCCGGUGUAGUAGUAAAAUGCGUUUAUAUCGGCAAGAACACCAGAGGCGAAGGCGGCUCACUGGAACAUUCCUGACACUAAGGGACGAAAGCGUGGGGAGCGAUACGGAUUAGAUACCCGUGUAGUCCACGCCCUAAACGAUGGAUACUAGACUUUGGCAGUAUCGACCCUGUCAGAGUCGGUCAAAAAAGCUAACGCAUUAAGUAUCCCGCCUGGGAAGUACGGCCGCAAGGCUAAAACUCAAAGGAAUAGACGGGGACCCGCACAAGCGGUGGAGCAUGUGGUUCAAUUCGACGGUAAACGAAAAACCUUACCAGGGCUUGAAAUGUAGCUGCUAAUCUCCAGAAACGGAGACUCCUUCGAGGGUGCUACACAGGUGCUGCAUGGUUGCCGUCAGCUCGUGCCGUGAGGUGUACCAUUAAGUUGGGUAACGAGCGCAACCCCCGUGUUAUGUUAUUUUUUACAUAACAGACCGCCCCUGCCUGUAGGCAUUUAAAAAAGUGCCUAGAGGCAGGGGAGGAAGGAGGGGAUGACGUCAAAUCAGCAUGGCUCUUACGUCCUGGGCCACACACGUGCUACAAUGGGGAAUAACAAUGGGUUGCCAAGUCGCGAGACGGAGCUAAUCCCAUCAAACUUCCCCCCAGUUCAGAUCGCAGUCUGCAACUCGACUGCGUGAAGUAGGAAUCGCUAGUAAACGCCGAUCAGCUAUGCGGCGUUGAAUACGUUCUCGGGUCUUGUACUCACCGCCCGUCAAGCCAAGGGAGUUGGGGACGCCUGAAGGCUGGGUUUAUCCCGGUCCAAGGCGGAAUCAGCGACAGGGGCUAAGUCGUAACAAGGCAUGUGUAGCGGAAGCUGCGCAUGGAUCACCUCCUU
This 1059-nucleotide ribosomal RNA is filed under the name Candidatus Magasanikbacteria bacterium GW2011_GWA2_42_32. RNAcentral's name for it is "bacterial SSU rRNA". It matches the Rfam family "Bacterial small subunit ribosomal RNA", at positions 483 to 1532 of the family's 1533-position model. The record is from RNAcentral. Lineage: Bacteria; Candidatus Magasanikiibacteriota.